GCGGGUGUAGCUCAGCAGGUUAGAGCGCCAGAUUGUGACUCUGGAGGCCGCCGGUUCAAAUCCGGUCACUCGCCCCA
Molecule: transfer RNA, 77 nt
Filed under: Alphaproteobacteria bacterium
Lineage: Bacteria; Pseudomonadati; Pseudomonadota; Alphaproteobacteria
Also listed under: 1 other name
Description: tRNA-His
Rfam family: tRNA
About the family: Transfer RNA (tRNA) molecules are approximately 80 nucleotides in length. Their secondary structure includes four short double-helical elements and three loops (D, anti-codon, and T loops). Further hydrogen bonds mediate the characteristic L-shaped molecular structure. tRNAs have two regions of fundamental functional importance: the anti-codon, which is responsible for specific mRNA codon recognition, and the 3' end, to which the tRNAs corresponding amino acid is attached (by aminoacyl-tRNA synthetases). tRNAs cope with the degeneracy of the genetic code in two manners: having more than one tRNA (with a specific anti-codon) for a particular amino acid; and 'wobble' base-pairing, i.e. permitting non-standard base-pairing at the 3rd anti-codon position.
Source: RNAcentral